This 67-nucleotide transfer RNA is filed under the name Typhlatya pearsei. RNAcentral describes it as "tRNA-Leu". Lineage: Eukaryota; Metazoa; Arthropoda; Malacostraca; Decapoda; Atyidae. The record is from RNAcentral.
UUCUAAUAUGGCAGAUCAUUGCAUGAGAUUUAAGCUCUCAAUAGGAAGAUUCACCUUCUUUUAGAAA